GACACAUGGAGCUCAUCUCAAGGACCCCUCAGUUCUUCUCUCUGAAACUUGUACCCUUUGUAGAACCAAGUCUGUGAAUCCAGAAGUGUUUGAGGGGACUCUAG
Molecule: microRNA precursor, 104 nt
Filed under: Procavia capensis (Cape rock hyrax)
Lineage: Eukaryota; Metazoa; Chordata; Mammalia; Hyracoidea; Procaviidae
Description: miRNA (ENSPCAG00000020056.1)
Source: RNAcentral